RNAcentral lists this ribosomal RNA (1366 nucleotides) under uncultured bacterium. RNAcentral's name for it is "bacterial SSU rRNA". It matches the Rfam family "Bacterial small subunit ribosomal RNA", at positions 28 to 1381 of the family's 1533-position model. The record is from RNAcentral.
GAUGAACGCUAGCGGCAGGCUUAAUACAUGCAAGUUGAGGGGCAGCAUGAUAUACGCGAGUAUAUUGAUGGCGACCGGCGGACGGGUGAGUAAUAGGUAGGAGACCUACCUCAUACAGGGGGAUAGCAUAGAGAAAUCUGUGGUAAUACCCCAUGAGGUUAUAUGAAUAGAGGCAUAUAAUCAAAGCAUAAGUGAUUAUGCGGUAUGAGAGGGGCCUACUGACCAUUAGCUAGUUGGUGAGGUAAGGGCUCACCAAGGCGAAGAUGGUUAGGGGUUUUGAGAGAGAGACCCCCCACAUUGGAACUGAGAGACGGUCCNNACUCCUACGGGAGGCAGCAGUAGGGAAUAUUGGGCAAUGGGCGAAAGCCUGACCNNNCNNNGCCGCGUGAAGGAAGACGGCCUUAUGGGUUGUAAACUUCUUUACUACGCGAAUAGAGGUUAGUACGAGAUACUAAUAGGAAGGUAGUGUAGUAAAAAGCACCGGCUAACUCCGUGCCAGCAGCCGCGGUAAUACGGAGGGUGCGAGCGUUAUUCGGAAUUACUGGGUUUAAAGGGUGCGUAGGCGGUUAAAUAAGUUGUCAGUGAAAGGCUACGGCUCAACUGUAGUAGUGCUGGCGAUACUGUAUAACUAAGGACAUGGGAGGGGUNNNNNGAAUGUGUGGUGUAGCGGUGAAAUGCGUAGAUAUCACACAGAACACCGGAGGCAAAGGCGGGGUACUAGACCAUAGUUGACGCUGAGGCACGAAAGUGUGGGGAUCAAACAGGAUUAGAUACCCUGGUAGUCCACACUGUAAACGAUGAUAACUCGCUGCCGGCGAUACACAGUCGGUAGCCAAGCGAAAGCGAUAAGUUAUCCACCUGGGGAGUACGACCGCAAGGUUGAAACUCAAAGGAAUUGACGGGGGCCCGCACAAGCGGAGGAACAUGUGGUUUAAUUCGAUGAUACGCGAGGAACCUUACCCGGGCUCGAACGGUGCAUGAAUAUAAAAGAGAUUUUAUAGUCCUUCGGGACAUGUAUCGAGGUGCUGCAUGGUUGUCGUCAGCUCGUGCCGUGAGGUGUAGGCUUAAGUGCCAUAACGAGCGCAACCCUUGUCGUUAGUUGCCAUCAGGUAAUGCUGGGAACUCUAGCGAGACUGCCACCGUAAGGUGUGAGGAGGGGGGGGAUGACGUCAAAUCAGCACGGCCCUUAUGUCCGGGGCGACACACGUGUUACAAUGGGGGGUACAGAGGGCAGCCAUCCGGUGACGGAGCGCUAAUCUCCAAAACCCUUCUCAGUUCGGAUUGGAGUCUGCAACCCGACUCCAUGAAGUUGGAUUCGCUAGUAAUCGCGCAUCAGCCAUGGCGCGGUGAAUACGUUCCCGGGCCU